Molecule: long non-coding RNA, 2164 nt
Organism: Equus caballus (horse)
Lineage: Eukaryota; Metazoa; Chordata; Mammalia; Perissodactyla; Equidae
Source: Ensembl
AAUAAAUUUGGACAGGGCCAGUCAUCAUAAAAAGUUGCUUCUUGACACAUUACCAACCCAGGGGCCUGUUUCAACACAGGGACAUAAGUCUUCUCAGCGUGAGAACAGGAUAGUCUCAGAAUAUUCCAGGAGGCCUCGGGUUGUGUCUUCUGAAAAGGGACGAGGCUUCCUUUCCUGAGUCAUAGGGCAGACUGUCUCUGAAUUGGCAGAUCAAUACAACAAAGUUCUCUUCCCUGAACCUGGGCAAAGAGUUCAACAUAUUCUUCCCGGGGUCAUGAGGAGCUCAUCUAGUUGCUUUCUGGAAAGGCUGUGGCAAGAUUCAGCUCUUACUCCAUCAGAUGGCUCCCUACUGAGGGUAAACCAACUUAGGGGAGACAGAGACUGCUGUUUGCAGUGGAGCAGGCAUGGUAACGGGGAUGACAGAGAUUUGGCCUGGGACUCGGAAGAGUGUCGAACUACCUGACCCACCCGAUGUGUGUGCUUAAAACUGAGUCCUGGAUUCUGAUUGAAACCAAGAUGGGUCUCCAAGGCCUGCCAUCAAAGAGACAUUUGUGUACCCGGACAGAGCUCCCAGCUGAGCCCAGAGGCACAAAGAUAACAGAAUAUUAAACGAGGAAAGACUGGACACCGCAACUUCCCCACUGGUUCUGAUGGGAAGACUAAGGGAGAGGUCACAGAAGGUAAAGAGGGCAUCCCUUGAAACAGGAAGAAGAUAACAGUCCUCCUCUGACUGCAAGUAAGUGAGGCUGCCGUGGUGGGGAGGGAGGGCAGCAGGUGCUCACUGCCCCGUCCAGAUAACGAGUUAAUGAGGAAGGAGACUCAGCUCUCCUCUAUGGCACAGUCAUGACACAGAGCACACAACGAGAACCACAGGAGUUCCUGCAACUCCAAAGCAUAACUUCCGUGCCACUUUUCUUACAGAGGCCCAGUGAGUAAAGGCUCCUGGGGCACUGUGGGCUCCCAGACAUCUUGCGCCUUCUAGGCCUGUUUCUGUCAAUACUGUAAUACCGUAGACACAUUUUUGUCGAGCUGUAUGUCGUGCUACGAAAUCCUCACCAUUAAACAGGCCAAAUGUGCAGACAGAAGUUAUGCAACUUAUCUUAGUUUUCCCCAAACAAGAGAGGACCCGUGGUCUCCCUGAGUGCAGGAAAUCUCUAAGAUUGGUUAGUUUGCCUGGUGUCAAGCUGAUUCUAGGUUCCUAAACUUGAGACAUUAAUACCAAGUGGAAACUAACAGGACAAGUCCCAAGGAAACAGACAGCAUUCUUAAAGGGGUGAUUCGUGGUAGGUGAGGGAUGAAACAGGUCUACUGGUACUUUCUAAUUCUCCCUGGAUUUGAGAUCUUCAGAUGUCACCAUUGCUUUCACAACCAGGAUUAUCAGUUACCUGGGGGCUGUUGGCUCAUCUCGUCCUCAUCCUUCUGAUCUUUUUGAGUUUCUGCAAAUAAAUUUGGACAGGGCCAGUCAUCAUAAAAAGUUGCUUCUUGACACAUUACCAACCCAGGGGCCUGUUUCAACCAGGGACAUAAGUCUUCUCAGCGUGAGAACAGGAUAGUCUCAGAAUAUUCCAGGAGGCCUCGGGUUGUGUCUUCUGAAAAGGGACGAGGCUUCCUUUCCUGAGUCAUAGGGCAGACUGUCUCUGAAUUGGCAGAUCAAUACAACAAAGUUCUCUUCCCUGAACCUGGGCAAAGAGUUCAACAUAUUCUUCCCGAGGUCAUGAGGAGCUCAUCUAGUGCUUUCUGGAAAGGCUGUGGCAAGAUUCAGCUCUUACUCCAUCAGGUAUGCUGGCUGCUGUUGGUUUGGAGGAAGUUAUACACCGAGACUAGACUGAUGGAUGGAAUUUAAUCACUCCUAAAGAGAAAGAAUCUAUGGUGCCACCUGGAGAACAGGAUUCUUGCUAUUCAAGUGGUGGAGGGUGCCAGGGUUCACACCACGCCCUGGGUGGUAAACUUCCAGACACAUUCAAGAGGUGUUUAUCUUUUGACACUUAGUGGCUCCCUACUGAGGGUAAACCAACUUAGGGAGACAGAGACUGCUGUUUGCAGUGGAGCAGGCAUGGUAACGGGGAUGACAGAGAUUUGGCCUGGGACUCGGAAGAGUGUCGAACUACCUGACCCACCGAUGUGUGUGCUUAAAACUGAGUCCUAGAUUCUGAUUGAAACCAAG